Molecule: long non-coding RNA, 303 nt
Organism: Heterocephalus glaber (naked mole-rat)
Lineage: Eukaryota; Metazoa; Chordata; Mammalia; Rodentia; Bathyergidae
Source: Ensembl
AGCUCAUCCUCGUGCCUGUGUUCGAGGCUGGAGUGGUUGGUUGUGUAGAUUUUUCUGAUGUGAAGAAGGACUUCAUGACCAGCUGGAAAGCUCCACUGCAUACUUAUGCUAUGGUUCGGAUUGUAAACAUACCAUGAAGACCACAUGGUAAAAAUUUGGUGUCCAGGCUGGGGUGCCACUGGAAGUUCCCAGUCUGGGAACAGGACUCCACCAUGCGCCCCUGCCAUGGACUGCCACCUCGCUACAGGCCCAAGACCAACAGAGCAACCAACCAUGGACUGAAACCUCCAAAACCCAGAGCCA